This 780-nucleotide ribosomal RNA is filed under the name Bacillus licheniformis. RNAcentral describes it as "bacterial SSU rRNA". It matches the Rfam family "Bacterial small subunit ribosomal RNA", at positions 566 to 1346 of the family's 1533-position model. The record is from RNAcentral. Lineage: Bacteria; Bacillati; Bacillota; Bacilli; Caryophanales; Bacillaceae.
CGGCCGCAGGCGGUUUCUUAAGUCUGAUGUGAAAGCCCCCGGCUCAACCGGGGAGGGUCAUUGGAAACUGGGGAACUUGAGUGCAGAAGAGGAGAGUGGAAUUCCACGUGUAGCGGUGAAAUGCGUAGAGAUGUGGAGGAACACCAGUGGCGAAGGCGACUCUCUGGUCUGUAACUGACGCUGAGGCGCGAAAGCGUGGGGAGCGAACAGGAUUAGAUACCCUGGUAGUCCACGCCGUAAACGAUGAGUGCUAAGUGUUAGAGGGUUUCCGCCCUUUAGUGCUGCAGCAAACGCAUUAAGCACUCCGCCUGGGGAGUACGUCGCAAGACUGAAACUCAAAGGAAUUGACGGGGGCCCGCACAAGCGGUGGAGCAUGUGGUUUAAUUCGAAGCAACGCGAAGAACCUUACCAGGUCUUGACAUCCUCUGACAACCCUAGAGAUAGGGCUUCCCCUUCGGGGGCAGAGUGACAGGUGGUGCAUGGUUGUCGUCAGCUCGUGUCGUGAGAUGUUGGGUUAAGUCCCGCAACGAGCGCAACCCUUGAUCUUAGUUGCCAGCAUUCAGUUGGGCACUCUAAGGUGACUGCCGGUGACAAACCGGAGGAAGGUGGGGAUGACGUCAAAUCAUCAUGCCCCUUAUGACCUGGGCUACACACGUGCUACAAUGGGCAGAACAAAGGGCAGCGAAGCCGCGAGGCUAAGCCAAUCCCACAAAUCUGUUCUCAGUUCGGAUCGCAGUCUGCAACUUCGACUGCGUGAAGCUGGAAUCGCUAGUAAUCCCC